RNAcentral lists this unclassified non-coding RNA (385 nucleotides) under uncultured fungus. RNAcentral's name for it is "sequence contains ITS1". The record is from RNAcentral. Lineage: Eukaryota; Fungi.
GUUAUUAAGAUCGGUCACAAUGUAAAGCAGGACUGGCUGGUACUGGCUUGCCGCGAUAUCUGCAUCGUGGCCGUCGACGACAUAAUACUGAUGUCCUACGUGCUCGACGCCGGCAAGGGCGCGCACGACAUGGACAGCCUGGUGAACCGCUAUUUUGGCCGCAGCCCGUCCCGUUUCAACGACGUCAAGAACAAAGAGAGGGCGUUGCUCACGCCGGAAGCGACACCGAUCGCGCGCACCGCCAGCUAUGCCGCCGAAGACGCCGAUGUGACGCUCCGACUUUGGCAGGCGCUGAAGCCACGCAUGGUGGCCGAACGCGUAACUACCGUCUACGACACGCUGGAGCGACCGCUCGUGCAAGUCCUCGCGCGCAUGGAGGAACGCG